ACCAGAGCUCUCGGAGAUCAACAAAGGUGCCGCUUUUGAAUGUGAAAGUUUUUUCAAGACUUUUCUAUUUCUUGGUUUGAAUCGUGUGCCUGUAGGGACACAUGCUACCUGCUUACUGGACAGUGACUACUUAGGAUAAGGACUCAGGCAAAAUGAUUAGUGGCAGAGGAAUCAUCUAAGAAAACUGAGAAGACUCUGCCAGAGUGAUGGGAAGAAAACUAGAUGAGAAAGCACCAUUCUGGAAGACAUGCUCCCAUGAACCAUGGAGAGAAGAGGAGAGGGAAGAAGUUAUUUGUGAUGUCAUUUGCCUGUGUCAUGGCCUGCCUUCCCUAGAUAUUGUCCUAAUGUGAGCAUCACACCUAAGGUACUGAAGUAGAGUUCUGGCUGUUCCUUACGGACAUCUCUGGUGUUGGGAUCCAGAGAACCUUCCCCUUCUGAGCAGCAAAACCAAAUAAAGCAGUUCUCAGGAUACAAAGACAAGACUGAGGAAGAUCCUAAUAAGGUGUUGCAAGGUGACACAGGACAAACUUUGUCCAAAGGAAAUUGAUCUGACAAGAACUUCUGGACUUGUCAGUUCUUAGGGCUGACUGGUCUAUCCUCUUUCUAUUGACUUUGGCUUACUAGACUCAAGCAGAAAGUGACAAGGGAAGAAAAGGAUACAAACAGAAGCAAGUUUCCAAGAACAAGGUUUACAUCAGGAAGAGCCAAUCAAAGAUCAUAUCUGGAGGACUGCUGCAAAGUUGUGAUAAAUGACCAAAUAGUAUUUUUAUAGAAGGUGGAAUGAAUGACAGACUAAAGAUUUCAGCUGAUUAAAGAAAUUAUGGAGUGCAUCAUUCUCAGUUUAUAUUGAACUGGGGUUCCUGAGAAAUUCCUCCUUAUAAAUUUACAUGGAAAUUAUAAUUUUUACUAGUUGAUUUCAGUUAAUUAGCCUACUGAAUAAUUUGAUUCUUGCACUCACUAAAAGAUCAUAGAGCACAAGAAUACCAUUUACAAAAUACUUUAAAAGUGGGGAUAUAAACACAAAUAAGGUCUUGUACCAACCUUGAAGGGAUUUUCAGUCUAGGUAAAAACCAUUUAAAAUAAAAAGAGGGCAUCCUUGUUUUAUUCCUGUAUUUAAGAGAAUGUGUCUUUCAGUGUUUAAAAUAAUGUUUACUGCUGGUUUAUGAUAAAUACUUUAAAAAAUCACAUUAUGGGAAUGUUUUCCAAUUUUCAUUUCCUAAGAGAUUUUUGUCAGGAAUGUAGUUGAAUUUUAUUAAGUGUCUUUUCUGUAUCUCUUGAUAUAAUCAUGUGAUUUUCAGCUUUAAUAAAUGUCUUAAUAUUGAA
Molecule: long non-coding RNA, 1323 nt
Filed under: Homo sapiens (human)
Lineage: Eukaryota; Metazoa; Chordata; Mammalia; Primates; Hominidae
Description: CCDC54 antisense RNA 1
Source: RNAcentral